AUUGAACGCUGGCGGCAGGCCUAACACAUGCAAGUCGAGCGGAUGAAGGGAGCUUGCUCCUGGAUUCAGCGGCGGACGGGUGAGUAAUGCCUAGGAAUCUGCCUGGUAGUGGGGGAUAACGUCCGGAAACGGGCGCUAAUACCGCAUACGUCCUGAGGGAGAAAGUGGGGGAUCUUCGGACCUCACGCUAUCAGAUGAGCCUAGGUCGGAUUAGCUAGUUGGUGGGGUAAAGGCCUACCAAGGCGACGAUCCGUAACUGGUCUGAGAGGAUGAUCAGUCACACGGGAACUGAGACACGGUCCAGACUCCUAAGGGAGGCAGCAGUGGGGAAUAUUGGACAAUGGGCGAAAGCCUGAUCCAGCCAUGCCGCGUGUGUGAAGAAGGUCUUCGGAUUGUAAAGCACGUUAAGUUGGGAGGAAGGGCAGUAAGUUAAUACCUUGCUGUUUUGACGUUACCAACAGAAUAAGCACCGGCUAACUUCGUG
RNAcentral lists this ribosomal RNA (484 nucleotides) under uncultured bacterium. RNAcentral's name for it is "partial 16S ribosomal RNA". It matches the Rfam family "Bacterial small subunit ribosomal RNA", at positions 30 to 507 of the family's 1533-position model. The record is from RNAcentral.